GCAGUGGUGGUUCAGUGGUAGAAUUCUCUCCUUCCAUGCAGGAGACCCAAGUUCAAUUCCUGGCCAGUGCA
This 71-nucleotide transfer RNA is filed under the name Loxodonta africana (African savanna elephant). It matches the Rfam family "tRNA". From Rfam's summary of the family: Transfer RNA (tRNA) molecules are approximately 80 nucleotides in length. Lineage: Eukaryota; Metazoa; Chordata; Mammalia; Proboscidea; Elephantidae. The record is from Rfam by way of RNAcentral.